Molecule: long non-coding RNA, 440 nt
Organism: Sardina pilchardus (European sardine)
Lineage: Eukaryota; Metazoa; Chordata; Actinopteri; Clupeiformes; Clupeidae
Exons: 4
Source: RefSeq, a predicted model, not a curated record
AGUAGUGCAUCAGUGAUGGUCUUUUCAUGUUCUGUGAGUUUUGCAAUGUAAUAAUGUUAGCCUUCUUCUGUUCCCCCUGUUUGCAGGUGGUGUGAGGACUGCUGCCCUGAGACCGCUGUGUGCAUUUUGGAAUGUUCCAAAUGUGUGUUACGUCCAUACAGAAGAAAUUCCAAGCCUGCAAUGGGCUCUAUCAACUGUCCAGGGCAAAGUCGGUCUACCCUGAUGGCACUACCUGUUACCCUGACCUCAACGUAGUGGGUGUGGACUACAGGAGCCCUGAUGUCAAGAAUUAAUAUAGACGGUGAUGGUGGCAAGGGUGCCUCCAUAAGGUGCCAGAAUUCCCAGCCUGGAGCCAGAGGCUGCUAUUGCAAGUCAGAUGGGGGAUGAUCUAUGUUAGGCGUCAGAAAGGUGGUGUACGCAGGAAGACAAGGCAAAGAUGU